UGCUGGGAUUAUGCACUUCCGGACUGCUGGGAUUUAAAUCCUGCAUCACCACAGCUGGGCCUCAAAGCACUCUUUAGAAAUUCCAAGUGUAUUCGCCAUAGCAUGUAGUGGAGGUCAGAGGACAACUUUUACGUUUUGUUGUUGUUGUUGAGACAGGCUCUCUCUUUGUAGUCCUAGCUGUCCUGGAGUUCACUAUGAAGACCAGGCUGGCUUCCAGUUCACAGAGAUCUACCUGCCUCUGCAUCCUGAGUGCUGCGAUUAAGAGGCCUACCAUGCCAGGCCUCAGAGAACAAUUUUUGGAAAUUGAUCUCUUCUACCAUGUAGGUCUGGCGAUCAGAAUCAGGUCACCAAGCUUGGCAGUGAGCAUCUCUACCGGAUGAGGCAUUUUGUCAGACCUGAAACACUUUGAAGAUAGAAUCUUACUGUGUAGCCUGGGUCUGGCCUCCCAUGGGUGCACUUCAGCUUCCUGCCUCAGCCUAGCAGGCUGCUCUGUCACCAUCUGCCACCACCAGGUGUAUGCUGCUGAUAAAAGGGCCCCUGCCACCUGGAGUUUGCUCAAACUCACUCUCUCUCUCUCUCUCUCUCUCUCUCUCUCUCUCUCUUCUAUAUCUCUCUGUCUCCCCGUCUGCGUGGCAACUUCUCUGGCCUCAUGGCCUCAUUCUCUGAGAAUGGUAAACUUGCUCAGAGCUGUUCCCAAAUAAAUUUGCUUUUA
Molecule: long non-coding RNA, 712 nt
Filed under: Mus musculus (house mouse)
Lineage: Eukaryota; Metazoa; Chordata; Mammalia; Rodentia; Muridae
Description: long non-coding RNA chr11:101696859-101697571
Source: RNAcentral